GCACCUUUGCGGUCUGCACCUUUUAAGGUUUUAAGUAACAAGUUUUAAGGUUUUAAGUAACUAGUUAGCAACCUACUUGUUUAUGAAAUAAUGGCCAUAUUACAUUGAAAAUAAACAUUAAACUAUGGUAAUAUAUAUAUAUUUUUAAGGAAAAUAUUUGUGUGUUUCUGUGGGAUCUCUGGUGCUGCACCAUCUUGCCAGUCAUUCUCAGAGCCCUCCGUUUGGAGUGUUCCUAUGUAGCCCCAAGAGUUCCCCUAACCUACCCCUCCAGCCUAACAAUAAUCAGGACACCCUACCCCCUAGACCUGAACGCGCUAAAAAGAGAGUGUUAGGGCUCAGUGGUGAAAUGGGAUUGGGCCUAAAUUAGGAAUGAAUACAAAUAAAACCGGAACGGAUUCCAAAUUCCAAAUAAUCUCUCAAGCGAGAGUCUAAAUGAAGAUGUGGUCAAGAGAGAGUCAAGAUUAAGUCCCAAUUAAUGCAAAAAUGAGUGCAAAUAAGUUUGAAACCUUUUUAAAACUGAAUCUUAUUUAGUCUCAGCUUCUUGUAUGCAUGUCCUGGUCUCUACCUCAGUGUUGAUGUUCGUGGUGUUCAGUGCUUACUCUGACUCUGAGUGAAGAUCUCCUGUUGUGAGCCCAGCAGACCGAAGGAAUAUUACAACAUCAGAAAAAAAGAGAACAGAAAGUGGCCUGUGUGUGCUACAGUGGUUGCAUAAUCAUGUUUAUGAACAGACUGCAGUCUGUUCUAACUCACCAUUUUCAUAAUCUUCUGAGAGACCUGGAGUGGAUCAGCAGUCGGACGACAUGGUGUCCUCUGGAACUCUGAUGGGACUCUUCCUGAUCACCCUGAUCUACCCUGAUGUCGAAGCUCGCAUCAGGAACCUCCCGAAAAUCAUCAGUUUUCUCCAGAGCAACUAUUCGGAUGGUGAUGAGCUGGCUGUGGUCAUCAACGUUCCAGCAGCAAAGUGUAAAACACGAAUGAAACCCGAUCAGGACUUCCUCCAGGAUGAUCCUGCCUGGAGAGUGAAGCAUGCCGUGAACAGCACUUCCAGAGUCUACAGAGGACAGCAGCUGAUCGCUGCCAGACCAAAACCAAUCAACAAAGCAAGUAGCUAUCACCCCGAGUACCUCCUGCUCAUCCAGUCCACCCCCUCAAACAAGACCUCCUUCAAUACACCACUGAAGAAGCUUCUGAAUAAAGACAAGCAUGGCUGUGUUGUCUUCUACACCUUCAACUCCCCCUGUGUGAACACCUGCUCAACCCCCGGAGGUCCUUACAACCUUCUCCCUGCCCUGGACCUGCUCAAGGAGCACAAGGGUCCCAAAGCCUUUGUGUUUAGCAGGGUUAAAAAACGUGAGGUCGGUUCAACUUCGAAGAAAAAUAAGCCACUCUGGCACUGCUACAGAAUCGGUAAACAUAUGUACGCCACCAUGACGGUCUGGGACAAUUACGAGAGUCAGGUUCGCUGGGAAGAAAACGUGAGGGAGAUAAAUGCUCGAGUGCCGCUCCACCGAUGUGAGGACGGCAAGUGUGUCCACUGUGUUCAAGACCACGAGGCUGAUGGCAGGUGCAUUCACAAUACUGGCAUAUAAUACCAUGUAAUACUAUAUAACACUAUAUAUUAUUCAAAAGCUUUAGGCACAUUAUUCAAAUCCUUUGAUUUUAGCAAUAAGAAAGUUUUAGUGCCCACUUCUUGGUUUAUCUGUAGGCUUGAUUUAGGGCAUGUCAGUGUGCCUUUGCUAUCGUAAUGACGGGAAAAGUACACCUUGUGCCACUCAAAAUGCACAGAAGGCACGCACUAAUGCUCUUAAUUAAUCAUUGGUGUGUUUUGGGCACAAUGGCAUCAGCAUGUCCCUUGCCAUUCCCUUUAAGUGUCAGGUGCGCUCUGACUUUGGUGUAAUGCUAUUUUAAUGGCGUAGCUACCUGGAUGUGUCCAGCACUUCGCAGCAGAUAAAACUGACCUGCUUGUUUAUGUUGUAAAGGUGCUCCAGCAGCUCAUUUAUGGGAACAGCAAUGCUAUUUCAUUUAAUUUUCUGUUUUUUUGUUGAUGUAAAAGUUGGGUUUGUGCUGCUGUGUGUUAAUGGGUAUGUAAUAAUAAAAAGUGGGGAUCAUCUGUGUUUUCCUCCA
RNAcentral lists this long non-coding RNA (2124 nucleotides) under Astyanax mexicanus (Mexican tetra). Its description in RNAcentral is "lncRNA (ENSAMXG00005006660.1)". Lineage: Eukaryota; Metazoa; Chordata; Actinopteri; Characiformes; Acestrorhamphidae. The record is from RNAcentral.